GGCCAGACUCCUACGGGAGGCAGCAGUGGGGGAUAUUGCACGAUGGGGGAAACCCUGAUGCAGCGACGCCGCGUGGGCGAAGAAGUAUUUCGGUAUGUAAAGCCCUAUCAGCAGGGAAGAAGAAAUGACGGUACCUGAGUAAGAAGCACCGGCUAAAUACGUGCCAGCAGCCGCGGUAAUACGUAUGGUGCAAGCGUUAUCCGGAUUUACUGGGUGUAAAGGGAGCGCAGGCGGCACGGCAAGCCUGAUGUGAAAGCCCGCGGCCCAACCGCGGGACUGCAUUGGGAACUACCGGGCUGGAGUGUCGGAGAGGCAGGCGGAAUUCCUAGUGUAGCGGUGAAAUGCGUAGAUAUUAGGAGGAACACCAGUGGCGAAGGCGGCCUGCUGGACGAUGACUGACGUUGAGGCUCGAAAGCGUGGGGAGCAAACAGGAUUAGAUACCCGGGUA
RNAcentral lists this ribosomal RNA (448 nucleotides) under uncultured bacterium. Its description in RNAcentral is "bacterial SSU rRNA". It matches the Rfam family "Bacterial small subunit ribosomal RNA", at positions 329 to 792 of the family's 1533-position model. The record is from RNAcentral.